Long non-coding RNA from Stegostoma tigrinum, 5355 nucleotides. RefSeq lists it as uncharacterized. The transcript is spliced from 2 exons. Lineage: Eukaryota; Metazoa; Chordata; Chondrichthyes; Orectolobiformes; Stegostomatidae. The record is from RefSeq and is a predicted model, not a curated record.
GCGACCGUAGAGACCGGCAGGGACAUAUCACUUUAAUGAUAUAAUAAACACUGGGAUUACAGAGAAGCUGCGGAAAUCUGAAACAAACACAGAAAGUGUUACAGAAACUCAGCAGCUCUAUCUGUGGAGAGAAAACAGAGUGAAUGAUUUGAAUCCAGUGCCCAUCUUAAGUUUUUCCAACACUGAAACCCAGGAGACUGAAAAACUUUGAAAUCCCAGGAAAGGAAAGAGCUAUGUUUCUCUGUGCAGUAAACACACGGGAAGGGAGAGGAGGCAAUGGCCUAGUGGUAUUGUUGCUGGACUGUUAAUCCAGAGACAUGGUUAACAUUCUGGGGACCCAGGUUUGAAUCCCACCAAGGUCUACAUGUGCAGCGACUUCCAGAACCAGAAGUCAAUGUGAAAGCUCGAUCCUAAUAUUUGGCAUGGGGAGUGCUGCGCUACUGGUUGUAACAACUCCUUUACUUCAAACUGUAUGUCAUUAUAGCCCAUGAUCUAUGGGUGGAUAGCCCUCAUUGCUGAAACUUCUAUUACAAAAAUCGUAAUUUCACCUCCUCUAAUUAAGGAUGCCCUCAAUCGCAUCUCCUCCAUUUCCAGCACUUUUGCCCUCAAAGCCACUCCCUCAACAGCAAUAAGAAUAGAGCCCACUUAGUCCUCACAUACCACCCCACCAAUCUCUGAAUCCCACAAAUCAUCCUCCAAUAUUUCCGCCACCUACAAAAAGAUAUUUCCUUUCUCACUCCUGUCUGCUUUCCUCAGGGACGAUUCAUUCCAUGAAUCCCUUGUCAGCUCUAUAUUCCCUACCAAUCCACAAGAGGUGCAACACCUGCCCCCACACCUCUCCUCUCACCUUUGUCCAAGGCCCCAAACAAUCCUUCCAGAUCUGGCAUAGAUUCACCUGCAACUCAUUGAACCUUAUCUGUUGUAUCCAUUGCUCCCGCUGUGGGUCUCCUGUAUAUCAGGGAGACCACACACAGACUAGGGGACCAGUUGGCAGAGCAUCUGUACUUGUGCACGCAUCAACCAACCUGACCCGGUUGCCAUCCAUUUUUAAUUACCCCCUUCCACUUCCCUGACGACAUGUCCAUCCUUGGCUCCUCCACUGUCAGAGUGAGGCCAAAUGUAAACUGGAGGAGCAACGCCUGAUAUUUUGCCUUGGAAAGCUUACAGCCCAAUGGCCUUAACAUUGACUUCACCAGCUUCAAAAUCCCUCCACCUCCAGCCCUUAAACCCAUGUCCAGUUCUCCCCCUCCCGACCUGAUUUAACCCAUCCAUCUUCCAACUCAUCUGUCUGAGCUAUCCUUCCCAUUGGACAAUCACAAUAACCCUGUAUCUACAUCCACUAUUCACCAUCUCUCCUACCCUUGCCCCAGCUCUACCCCCCUCCCUCUAUUUAUUUAUGGGCUCCUUCCCCCUCCCCUGAAAUGUUGACUUACCUGUUCGUCGGAGCUGUCUGAACUGCUGUGCUCAGGACUGUAGAAACUACAGAAAGCUGUGUGCACAGCCCAGACUAUCACAGAAGCCAACCUUCCAUUUACAGAGUUUGUUGCUGAAAGGUUGCCUGCAUCAUCAAAGCACCAUCACACACCAGUGAUGACCUCCUACAACCCUUUCAAUCAGAAAGAAGAUACAGAAGCUUGAACACUCACACCAGCUGGUUCAGGAACAGCUUCUUCCACGUUGUUAUUUGACUGAUGAAUGGACUCCUAAGCCUCAAAUAACGCUGAUCUUGCUAACAUUCAUCUCACCCACUGUACGCCCUGUGCAAUGUAACCUGUAUGCCUCUAAGAUUUUUUUCCAACCUUUGACCUGUACAUCCUGGCAUACUGUGAUCUGCCUGUAUUCUUCAUAAACAAAGCUUUUCAUUGUACGCUGGUACACAUGACAAUAAAUCAAUCCAGUUGAUCAGCUAACCUGUCCAGGGAAGGUUUGAGGGCAGCAGGGUGUGCAUUCAGAAAAAAAAUCAGAGACUGACACAUUUCGCUGUAGAAUCUCUACAGUAUGGAAGGGGAUGUUCUAGCUAUUGAGCCUUCAAGAAGCAUCCCACUUGGUCCCAGCCCUAUUCUUGUAGCCCCAUGUUUAUUUACAAUGUUUAAUCGGCCUAAUCUUCACAUUUUUGAACUGUGGGAGGAAGCCUGAGCACCUAGGAUGAACGCAUGCAAUACAUUCAAACUCUACAUAGACAGUUGCCUGGGGUUGGAACUGAACCCAGGUUUCCGAUACCGUGGGGCAGCAUUGCUAACCAUUAAGGCACCAUGCCACCCUAAAGAGCCAGUUGACCAAUAUGGGGCUCGAACCCAGGACUCUGACAUUAAGAGCCUCAUGCUCUACUGACUGAUCUAGUCAGGCCGUAUAGAUAUAUUUGUGCUGCACAAUCCCAGGAUUGCCACACUCUGAGGGUAGAUUUUAAAAUGCAUGCAUUUGGGUUCUUCUCACUACUAGCUCCUGAGCACAGGAAGGUGCUAGAAAAAUCCAGGCUUCACCAUUCCUGCUAUAGGGGUUCUGACACUAGCAAAUCUCUCAUGCUUCAAAAUAUAAGCUUUUCAAACUUGGUCCUAGAAGAGUUAGGAUUCCACACCCCACCCACCCACUCCAGUGGAGGGUUAAUGUGAGAGAAUAGCCUUUGGUCUCGCUCAUCAUUUCCCCUGGGAUUAGAGUGGUGCUGGUGCUGCUCAGCAGAAUGAGUAUGGUGCUGUCGAGGCUCUUGGACUUGAACUCAGAAUCCUUGUAGCGUAGAGCCUACAUCACAGAGACAGAUCAUUUCGGCCAACACUGUGCCAGUGCUUAAACUCUUCCCAUGCCUAACCAUCUAAUCUUAGCUUCAUUUCCUUCUAUUCCUUUCUCCCUUAUGUGCUUACCUAGCUUCCUCUUAAAUGCACCUUUGUUAUUUGUCUCAGCCACUCCUUGUGGUAGUGAGUUCCAAAUUUUGCCAUCGUCUAAGUAAAGAAAUCAGUCUUGAAUUUCCUAUUUCCUUGUUAAUGAGUAUCUUAUACUUGUAGCCCAUAUUUCUGGUCUAACCAACACCACAACCAUCACCCCUGCUGCCCUUCCCAAUUUUUUAAAAACAUCCUAACCUCCUCAUUUGCUGACAAAUCUAAUUAGUUUCCAGUGGUUGUUCUGUUUUAUAUUUGGAAAGAUUAUAAUCAGGCAAAUGGAGCACAAUCUGGAGAGGUAUUUGUAAAGGGUGAGCAAAGCAGACAAUAUGUAUUGAAUACCAGAACAUGUAGCACAUAGAGAAACACUGGCCUUGAAGUGAAUGUCUACAGAUCCCUGAUUCUAACUGGACGAGUGGGUAGAAAACUUGUAAAUGCUUUCCUUCAUUAGUUUUAAGGUAGAAGGGUGAUUGCACCAGAACUGUCCAGAACACUUAGACCAGAGCUACAUACUGCUUCCAGUUCCAAUCACUGGAAAGUUGUGAUCAUGAUGGAAAGGGCUUAGAGUAAAUUUAUAAAGACAUUGCCAGGAAUUGGCAAUUUUUAACAGAAGGAUUAGGUAGGCUGAUUUUUUUUCUUUGAAACAGGGAAGCUGAGGGGAGAUUUAUGUGACAUUUCUAAAAUUUAAAGCAUCAAGAUUGGGUGGAUAUAAAGUAUCAAUCUGUUGUGGUAGAGAGGUCACUGACCGGGAGGCCUGGAUAAAAAGUAUAAUUAAAAGGGGAAAUUCCUUCAUCCAGUGGGGAUGGGGAAGGGGGAGCGACAGUCUGGAACUUGGUGCCUGACAGGGUGACUGAGACAGGUACCCACAUCAUACUUUUGAAAAAAAAGUCUUGUGCAGUAAGGUAGAGGACAGAGACAUGAUGGACUGAACUUCCAUUGGGAUAGGUAACACUGUCAGACUAGUGAAAGGCCGUGAUCUAGGAAGGUGAUCUGGAUCAUUCCUGUUAGUGGGAGAAAGCUAAUUCGGUACUACUCCUACUUCCAGGUGGGAACGUGCUGAUCUGAGAUUACUCCUGUGUUCAGAUGGAAAGUUGAUGAUCUGGAAUUUUGCUGGCCAAAUGGAAUAUUAUUUCACUCAUUCAUUACUUCUGGCUGCUGUUCAUCAGAAUGCCAUUUACUGCAUUGCAUUCAGCCUGGAACAGAUUAGCAUUGAUCAGGAGCACAGCCAAUCUCAGACAUUUGGACAAGUAUGGAGCCCAGCAGCUGCCUGUCUUUGGAGGGUUUUUCCUCUGCUUUAUAAUUCCACAACUGCCAUAACACUUUUCUUAGAAGCUAAAAUAUAAAACCUUCCAGACUAUUGCAUUUGUGCUGGUUAUUUUGCUAGAAUAACUUCAAAAUUAAUCCCACUUUCCUCCCCUGCAUCAAUUCCUGCGUUAGUCUCACUGCCCCAUGAUUUCCCUAACCCUAUUUCUUUCCUUUAAAAUAUUGAGCAACGUUUUUCCCUGGAAAGAUGAUCUUUAGCUGAACCACGGUAUAUGCGUGCUGAAUAUUUGCUAGCUCCGUCUUCAUGCUUUAGUGAUUGUUUUGAUGAUCUCUCAACACUUGAUUUCUCAGCCAGAGGAAAAGAUCUUUCAUUUUAUGAAUAGUUUAAACACAUUUUCUUAAAAAAAAACCACAGUGGGAACUGUUCCAGUACCUGAUUUCUCCGCACUUAGAAACAUAGAAAAUAGGAACAGGAAAUAGGCCAUAUGGCCCUUUUACCAUUCAAUGUGAUCAUGGCUGAUCAUCCAACUCAGUACCCUGUUCUUACAUUUUUCUGCAUAUCAUUUGAUACCUUUAGAAAUCUGAGGUAUAUCUAACCCUUUCUUGAAAGCAUUCAGUGUUUUGGGCUCAACAGCUUUCGGCAACAGAGAAUUCCAAAAACUCACCACCCCCUGGGUGAAGGCAUUGCUCCCCAUCUCCAACCUAAAUGCCCUAUCUUUUAUCCUUAGACUGUGACUCCUGGUUCUGGACUCCCUGGUCAUUGAGAACAUCUUUCCUGUGUUUACCCUGUCUAGUUCUGUUAGAAUUUUUUUAGGUUUCCAUAAAAUCCCGCUUAUUGUUCUAAAUUACUGUGCAUAUAGCCCUAACUGAUCUAGUCUUUCUUCAUAUGUCAGACAAGGAAUCAGUUUGGUAAUCCUUUGUUGCACUUCCCCUAUAGCCAGAUCAUCUAUCAUCAGAAAAGGAGACCAAAACUGCACACACUCUUCCAAUUGUGGUCUGUACAAUUACAGGAACACAUCCCUGCUCCUGUUUUCAAAUACUCUUGCUAUGAAGUCCAACAUACCAUUAGUUUUCUUCACCAUCUCCUGUACCCUGCAUGAUUACUUUUAGCAACUGGUGCACAAGGUCACCUAGGUCUCAUUGCACCUACCCCUCUCCCAAUCUGUUGGCAUUCAAUUAUAAUUGGUCUUGUUGUUUUUGCUAUUAAAGUGCAUCACAUUUA